Cordylochernes scorpioides is the source of this 82-nucleotide non-coding RNA. NCBI's taxonomy places the organism in Eukaryota, Metazoa, Arthropoda, Arachnida, Pseudoscorpiones, Chernetidae. The record is from the annotation of a GenBank genome assembly.
UGGCAGCGGUUGUAUUCGAACCUACGUCUCCGAAGAGACUGGUGCCUUAAACAAGCGCCUUAAACCGCUUAGCCACGCUGCC